GUUAGUACCCUAACCGACGAAAGGAGGGGCGACUACCACGGUGAGAUUCAUGACUGGGGUG
This 61-nucleotide ribosomal RNA is filed under the name uncultured bacterium. RNAcentral describes it as "partial 16S ribosomal RNA". The record is from RNAcentral.